Long non-coding RNA from Brassica napus (rape), 380 nucleotides. RefSeq lists it as uncharacterized. NCBI's taxonomy places the organism in Eukaryota, Viridiplantae, Streptophyta, Magnoliopsida, Brassicales, Brassicaceae. The record is from RefSeq and is a predicted model, not a curated record. The transcript is spliced from 2 exons.
AAGCCUAUCAAUAAUAAAUACACAAAUAACUAAAGUUAAGAGAAAAAAAAAAAGAGAAGCAAGUAUGGCUAAAUCAACUUCUUCACUUGUUGUUGCCAUCAUCUAUCUCAUGAUGUUUUCUUUAGUUGAAGAAAAUAUGGGAUGUGAAGUGGAUUAUGGCUCAUGCAAGGAGAUAGGAAACUGUGAAGUUAUGUGUAUGGUUAAAUUUGGAUCAGCUGCAACGGGUUACUGUGCCGGAGGCAAUGAAACUGGAAGAUGUUAUUGCGAUUUUCCGGGCCCUUGUAUCGGCUGAUAAUAUUCAUAUGUGAUUCAAGCUGUAUUUUGAUUUUUUUUUUAAAUGAAUUAAGAGAAAAAAACUUAAGUUGAAUGUCAACUUGACA